AAUCAUAAUUUGUGAUUGGAUUCCUACUGUAAAUAUAUCCAGUUUCCAUGGAUAACCCAAGAAUUGCAGGGCACCAAGUGGCCACAAUUUUUUUUUUUUUCAGCAUCUCACUAAAACACUGUUCUUUGUUCCCUUUAAUUUCUCAUAAUUUUCACAGAUUUCAAAAUUAAAUUCCCCUCUUAGAGGGCAAUCUCACCCCUGGACAGGGCACGGAUAGGGAGUAACAGCACCCAGACAGCUCACUCUCCCCACCCCAAUCUCCCAUCUCCUCCCCCCUCUGCUCUUACCUGGGACCCAGAGCAUCAGCAGCCCCAGUAGCUGAGAAGGGAACCUCAUUUUGAGAUGCUGAACUGAUGAGUCCUAGUAAGUAGACACAAGGUCAGAGCUGACCUUUAUGUCAGACUUCCAAGGUAAGGUCCUCCCCAGGGGACAAUAUGCAAAUCUUGUGGUGGGUGUGGCUGAGAGGAAAGAGCCAAAGGCAGGGCUCAGGUCCCUCUUCUGGGAGUGCAGUAACUUAAAAUGGCUUUUGUCUUUGCAGGGAAACUAACAGAGACAAAUUCCCUACUGCCUGUGCGGGAAGCAGGAUCUCUCUGUGAUAAUCAGGAUCUGUGGCAGGACACAGUGCUCAUAGACCUGCCUUCUGAGAAAGCUCCAGAGACCCUGACUAUACAGGCACGCAUGUCCAGAGGCCAUUUCUGGCAGGUGAAUGGCCAUCCUGCCUGUAUUCCUGUCAGCUAAUGUCCAGGAGGAAACAGAUCCCACUCCAGCUGAUUAGCCAGCAAUCUCCAGAUCCCAGGAUAAACUGGAGAGAGAUCAGGAGUCUCUGGGAUCUGCUGUUUCCAGAGUGCUAGCCAAGCAAUCCUGAAUCUUACUCUUGAACAUGCCAGCCCACCUAAUGAAUCCUGCUGGUGAAUGAUUCAGAAAGUUAAACCAGUGGAAAUGAAUAAAAUCAGGAAAAAACCAAAAAGGACAAUAUAAGAAAAUAUCAUAAAUCUUAAGAUGAGUUUAGAAACUAUUCAUUACACAUGUUAAAUUAAGAAUCACAAUAUCUAACACUGUGUGUCAAAUAUACUAAGGAAAUCAGAAUCACAUUACCCAUCACCAUAUGUGAAACCUCAAUGUGUGGAAAUUUGGCUGAAAAUUAUUCAUCCACCAUGUUUAUUUGCUGUGUAUCAGUUUUGAAACUAUUUUUUGUACAACGUUUUCCUACAAAUGCUUGAACUUCAACAAUAUUUCCUACAAAACGUAACAUGAAAACUUUAAAAGUCUCCUUUUGUGUUUGGUUGUUUAUCUCAUAAUUUCUUGCCCUGAAAUACCUAAAAAAUGCAAAAACCUUCUACAGCUUCCUCCUUGACAGAGAAGGUUUUGAAAUUUUCCCCUGCUAACUGUAGACCGAAGAAAGACUGUUCCUAAUUCCUAAGAGGAGUCUUUAUCUCCUGUGUAUGUAGGAACUUUGUUGUACCCUGGAUAAUAAAAGUGACUUCAUCAACAUUGGUCAUUGCACAACACACAGAAAUCAUUGACAUCUGUAAGGGAUGUAAGAAGAACCACCAUGAGGUCCAGGUGGGGACCAGGACUCUAGGAGCCUCUAAUCUUGACCACCAUCACCUCAACCAGCAAGGACUUACACAGUAUUCUCAUGUCUCUAGAAUUUUCCCAGCCUUGCUUCUAGGAUGGCCUCAGCUUCAUUCGCAGCCACUAGAAUGGUGUAGGGAGGGACUAUCCUGUCCAUGUCCCGGUCAGCUUGGCUGAGGUUGUCACUGUGCAGGAAACGACUACAUGUGUCUUCAGCAUAUCCAAUCCUAUGGCUGACAUGGAAGAAGGAGGAAGAACAUGUCUGUGUCUGGACUGUGCAGUUUCUGCUCUAACUGAAUCUGCUUUGGUCCUCACCUUGCUGAGCAGCUCUUCAU
This is a long non-coding RNA of Lutra lutra (Eurasian river otter), 1910 nucleotides long. RefSeq lists it as uncharacterized. The record is from RefSeq and is a predicted model, not a curated record. The transcript has 3 exons. NCBI's taxonomy places the organism in Eukaryota, Metazoa, Chordata, Mammalia, Carnivora, Mustelidae.